RNAcentral lists this small nuclear RNA (24 nucleotides) under Arabidopsis thaliana (thale cress). RNAcentral's name for it is "snRNA_18917". Lineage: Eukaryota; Viridiplantae; Streptophyta; Magnoliopsida; Brassicales; Brassicaceae. The record is from RNAcentral.
GUUUUUAUGGUAUGGACUUACUAU